Molecule: ribosomal RNA, 253 nt
Filed under: uncultured bacterium
Lineage: Bacteria
Description: partial 16S ribosomal RNA
Rfam family: Bacterial small subunit ribosomal RNA
Source: RNAcentral
UACGAAGGGGGCUAGCGUUGCUCGGAAUCACUGGGCGUAAAGGGUGCGUAGGCGGGGCUUUAAGUCAGGGGUGAAAUCCUGGAGCUCAACUCCAGAACUGCCUUUGAUACUGAAGAUCUUGAGUUCGGGAGAGGUGAGUGGAACUGCGAGUGUAGAGGUGAAAUUCGUAGAUAUUCGCAAGAACACCCGUGGCGAAGGCGGCUCUCUGGUACGUGACUGACGCUGAGACGCGAAAGCGUGGGGAGCGAACAGG